RNAcentral lists this ribosomal RNA (520 nucleotides) under Thalassospira sp. RNAcentral describes it as "bacterial SSU rRNA". It matches the Rfam family "Bacterial small subunit ribosomal RNA", at positions 37 to 594 of the family's 1533-position model. Lineage: Bacteria; Pseudomonadati; Pseudomonadota; Alphaproteobacteria; Rhodospirillales; Thalassospiraceae. The record is from RNAcentral.
UGAAUGGCGCAGCUACCAUGCAAGUCGUACGAGAAGGUUCCUUCGGGAACUGGAGAGUGGCGCACGGGUGAGUAACGCGUGGGGACCUACCUCUUAGUGGGGGAUAACGGUUGGAAACGACCGCUAAUACCGCAUACGCCCUUCGGGGGAAAGAUUUAUCGCUAAGAGAUGGACCCGCGUUGGAUUAGAUAGUUGGUGAGGUAACGGCUCACCAAGUCAGCGAUCCAUAGCUGGUUUGAGAGGAUGAUCAGCCACACUGGGACUGAGACACGGCCCAGACUCCUACGGGAGGCAGCAGUGGGGAAUAUUGGACAAUGGGCGCAAGCCUGAUCCAGCCAUGCCGCGUGAGUGAAGAAGGCCUUCGGGUUGUAAAGCUCUUUCAGAUGCGAAGAUGAUGACGGUAACAUCAGAAGAAGCCCCGGCUAAUUUCGUGCCAGCAGCCGCGGUAAUACGAAAGGGGCAAGCGUUGUUCGGAUUUACUGGGCGUAAAGGGCACGCAGGCGGUCCUGCCAGUCAGGGG